UGUGAUCGUGCAGCCGUGGUGGUGUUGUGAUAAAAUCUGCCAUGCUGUAUAUUUACAGUACAUAAUCCCGGGUGAAGUAGUUUUAUAUUCUUCCUCCCGACACCAUCCAUCCAUUCAUGCAGUGCGGCGUGUGUAAGCAUUGAUUCAUAUGUGAUUGGUCACAUAAGUCACAGUCUCGGGGGGGCAUUUCAUCACUGACAGACAAGCUAAUCUAAAAUCCCCCAAUUUACAAAUGAAAAUCCCACCAUCCAAUUGAGCUAAUAGAGGGACUUGAAUGGGAUAAUAAGAUGUGGUGUAAUACUGUGUAAAAAGCCUGUAAUGUUGUGUUGGUGUAAGAGCCUGUGUGACUGAAUGUUUGACUGUUUGCAGUGAUUACGGCGGCCUGCGGGCCUGGCGGCGGCUCUGUGGCUGGGACAGGGAGCUUCUCCCUGGGCAGGGAGAUACGCCUGUCUCCCCCUUCCGCUGGAGCUACAGGGACCAGGAUCAUGUCAGUAGGGAGAGUCCUUCCUGUGAGCUCCCUCUCUCCCUCUGUCUUUCAAUCUGUCUGUCUGUCUCUCUCUCUUGUUGCUCUGUGUCUGUACUAUUGCAGUGCUUGCAGAUGUGCACAAACAAGGGAGGAUUAAAGCAAAACGAAUCUAAACAGACAAACGGAAUUAGAGUGAUGGGUGUCGGUGGGCUGGUUCACAGUGAUAAACAUAAUGAUGCUCUGUGAGUGUGUGUGCAAGUGUGUGUGUGUGUGUGUUCCUGUGUCUGGGGGAUUAACGAUGGUUAGGUGUGUGGUGUGUAUGGCUGGGUGACUGCUUCUGGGUGUCUUUGUGUGUUUGCCUAUCUGUCUAUGUUUUUGUAAUUACGUGUGUGUAUAUUUACUCAGUUCCUACUUGUGUGUCUGAUAAAUGUGUUCUUCUAUAUUGCCUCUCAAAAACAAGUCUCUGUGCCCUCUGCAUGCAUGAAGGUAUGUUUCUGUGUCCCCCCCCCGUUGUUUGGGGUCAUACUUCUUUCUUUCACAGUGUCUGUUUGUGUUUGUUCACUGGUGCUGCCUAAGCCUGUUGUGGCUCCACUGCACAUAAAAUGUCCUCACCCGCUAUUGACAUACACCUAGGAAGAUGAGAAAACGUUUGUGGAAUAUGAAGAUGUCGCACACUAAGUUGGUUUUUCAGUCUGCAGUUUAUGUGCAGAUGUUGUGUUUUCUUGUGUGUGUGUGUGUUUGUGUGUUGAGGAGGUCAGGAGUGUGGUGGAGCCAGCAGGGGGGCAGUGAUCAACAGUCUGGGGGCUCCCCUGCCGGGGGCUCUGGGAUUACGGCUAAACCCUGGCCUGCCAGAUGGACACAACGCGUCCUCAACAUCACACACAAGCACCUUUUAGGACUUCGCUUGCCCAGUCCUCCUCUGUGGAAACGAGAGCGGUGGCAGGAGAAAUGACUGAGAUGAAGGAACUCUUCCAAGUGUCGGCUCGCGGACAAUGUGGCCAGUCAGCAGGUUCCAGGGUUGUCGAAAAAUGAAACUCGCAGGUUGUUUUGAUGUGCUGUAAUGGCAGAGCCACGGGCAACACUGACAUGAUGGAGUCUGUGCAGCCUCAAACCAGCACCUUUUCACCAGAACCGGGGACAGAGACCAGAGCCGGGGACAGAGGCGCUGGGCAGCGCCCGCUGCUCGACAACAACACGCAGGAGGGAUUAAUGCCGCGUCUGUUGGUCCCAUAUGCUCCUCGGCGCUGCUCUGCUCUUGAUUAAAAACUCAUUCUGAAAGUGACCCUGCAGUGUGACACACUCCCCCCCAUAACUACAGUCUGGAUGGAGGACACUGGAAGAGGAGACACGCAGCUCAUGAAUAUUCACGCUCUUUGUCCCACAAGUCCAGUCCCCGUCAUUGUUCAUGCUCACGUGAGUGUUGAUAAACUGACCGUUGCGUUUCGCCACAAUGGUCAUCGAUGAAUUUAAUAUAUAUAUAUAUAUAUAUAUAUAUAUAUAUAUAUGAAUAAAAGUGGAUGAGUCAAAAGAGCAUAUAAAGAAACAAACAACUAUUUAUUCUUCUCUAUUGACUAAGUCAGGGUCUAUAUUGAAAAAUAUUACAGUGGCACACGCGCGCGCGCACACCUGUUUGCGCGAGCAGGCAAUGGAAUCAAAGCCACUCUACUUCUCUUGAACGCUUCGAUUAUUCCAAGCAACGCUUUUAAUUAGUGCGCUCCUUUAGCGGAGGCUGCAAUGUAAGAGAGAUUAUUGGCAAAUGUCAAGGAUGCUAAUUGAAUGUUGGACUUCUAACAAUUAGGCCACUGUGGAGACAUGUCGCCUCAUUACAGGGUCCAGGGCCGCGCUGACGUCACGUCGACCGUUUUAAUAUAGUAAAUAAAUACAUAAAUCGAUCAAAACACAACCCUAGUAAUAUGCCGAUGUGAAAAGUAAAAGGAGAGAAUGCAAAUGAUCCACUUCUUAUAAGUGAGCGCGUGUUUUAAAGGCAUCUCUUCGCCUCACUACACAAAUAAUGUCACAUGGACACUAUGGGGUUCAGUUUCGAAUUUAAUGUUGCAAGGCCCCCCCCCCCACAAUCUUUCUCUUUUCUUUCAGAAAACACGCAGUAAACAUCAAAUCAAUGAAAAGUGGUGCCUGAUUUGUUUCCCUCCUGUUGAAUUAACUGACAUGACAGAUAGAGUUAUAAUCUUUUAAAACAGUUCACAUUUGAACCAAACGUGUUUUAUUGUUUGGGGGCCGAAUAUCGUGAUGUGAUUAAAGGCUUGAUAUUAAAGCGCACAUGUGGGGAUCAGACUUGUUAAAGCCCGUGUGGUUGGCUUUGAAAGGAGACCGCUGCUGCCCCAGAGGGGGGAAGAAAAAAAAAACCCACCCCGCCGCUAAAAUAUUGGGAUUAACAUCUCUUGGAGGCCGGGAUUAAAACACAAAGCGCCCUCUUUGUUGAAACAACAACCGGAAACUAAGGAGAAAAAAAACACAAUUAAUUCUAGAAUCAGUAAAAAAUGUGAUCCUACAUGUAAAGAUGUUUUAUUUUUUAUUGUAUUUUAGAACUAAUUUUGUUUUGUUUUAAGUUAAAACACGGUUUAUUUCAUCUUCACUGAAAUUCAUAGAAGCACGAGGAGACAUUGCCAAUAUAGGCUAUAGUAUAAUCUUAUUGUACUGUUUUUUUUUCUUCAGUUAAAAUACCCAUACAUAACUGGGUCACCCAGUGUUUCUGUUUUCCACAGUCAAAUCCUAGAUGGUGGAAAUAAAAAAUAAAUAAGUCGAAAUUUUCCCUGAACCCCAAACAAAUCAAAUAAUAAAAAAGAAACCGUCUCUCUGUCCCUCGCGCACACACACGUACACACACACACACACACUGAUGAAAGAGUAUAAUCUCACUGCAGGACCUUUAUUCGUGUCUUUUCAGCGGUGAGGUCACACCAUCUUUGGGGCCACAAUCACCGUGUACUGAGAUAAAUGGAGGGAGGGGGAGGAAAAAAAAGCGGAGCUCUCGGCAGCAGCAGAGAGUCUUUUCCAGUGUAUGGCUAAACCUUGAUCAUCAUCAUCAUCAUCAUCAUCAUUAUUAAUAUUAUCAUUGUUACUUCAGAAGUCUCGUGUCUCUCUUUGUGGUGGAACCAUGGGCGUCUUUUAAAGUCACAGCAGAGACGAGAGAGUGUGGCGCGAGGGGGAGGCUCACAAAUUGCAUACAAUACAACAGAUCACAGUUUCCAAGUCUAGCACAGAUAAAAAAAAACAAAAAAAAACACAUAUGUACCAUUUAUAUAAGACACACACUGAUUGUCUCUUAGAAACUACAUAUUGAUUCCUUAUAAACACUUUUUUUUCUUAAAUAAAGUAGUGCAUCCAUGUCCACGCACCAUCCUCGCGCAUGUGUCCGUGCCAGCAGGUCGGCAAAAGCUGCAUGAGUAAGAAGAAGAAGAAGAAGAAGAAGCAGAGAAGGGUUUCUGUUCAUGAGCUCGAGUUCAAUUCGUGGAUAAACAUUAGGUUCCGUGGCUCUUGUGGUGUUUUUUUUUUUCUUUUGUCUCGGGAGUUCACUCUGCGUUUUCAUCAACAGGUGUUUUUACGCACAGAGGCGCGCGCUGUCA
Molecule: long non-coding RNA, 4050 nt
Organism: Solea senegalensis (Senegalese sole)
Lineage: Eukaryota; Metazoa; Chordata; Actinopteri; Pleuronectiformes; Soleidae
Exons: 4
Source: RefSeq, a predicted model, not a curated record